CAGUACACAAAGUAAUUAAAAGUCUGUCAAAGCAAAAAUAAUCCCACGAUCCUUGAUGAUAUAACAAAAGAGAUAGGGAGGGAAAACUUGGGCAGAUAAAGGAAUGAACUGAAGUCAUAGAAUCAUAGAAUCAGAAUGUUUAAACUGAAAGGAACCACACCUUACUUCCUGGCAGGUGAAUGGAGUGAAGCUACAAGCUACCAGGGGAAAAUGAUUAGAUAUCCUUUUAGUAACUUCUGUGGCUAUUAUAGUAUGUGAUAUAUAGAACAGAUCUAUGAUGGUGAACCUAUGAAAUGGGUGCCAAAGAUGGCAUGCAGAGUGCCCUCUGUGGGCACCCAGCUGCCCUCUCUCUCUCCCCCUACCCAGAGUUCAUUACAAGAAAGUUUGAGGGACUUGGGCAGAGCUGCUCCCUUCCCCCCUCUCCAGCGUGCCUGACAUUUUUUUCACUUCACCCCCCCCCUUCCCAGCAGCCCACUGGGAGACCACAGAGGGCAAAGUGGGUGAUUCAUAGGCAGCAGAGAUGGAGGGGAGCAGAGCACUCUGGCCACUCCCCUCCCCCACUCUAUACUCCCUGAGGACAUUCCUCACUUUACCCCACCCCCUGCCCAGCAGCCCAAUUAGAGUGCUUUCUCUCUCCUGUGUGGGGUAAAGUUUGGGGUGGUGAGGCCUAGUACUUGGUGGUGGGGAGGAUCGUGGCACACAGUCUUGGGGGUGGUGGAUGUAGGCAGGUCCUGGCACUCUAUCUCUAAAAGGUUUGCCAUCACUACUACUGAUGGAUUAAUUUCAAAUCUAUAUGAGCUGUUCCUAAUUUCCUUGUCCAUAAGAUGAUGUGUUGAACUAGGUUUCUUUUUAAUCUCUCACCUUCCUUCUUAGUAUCAAUACUAAGUAUUGAUUUCAAGACACAAGAGUUGUAAGGACUAGGCAAAUGGGGUUAAGUGACUUGCCCAGGUCACACAGCUAGGAAGUAAACUGGAUCAUUUUAAAGAUCAAUUCCAUAUCUAGGAUCUAUGAACAUCCUCCUAAAAAAUCUUCAUAUUCUUUAGAUGAGAUGAAUCAAAUCACACUUAAAUUUCCAACCUUCCAAUCUGAAAAACCAAAUCCCUUUAUCUCUUAUAGGGCAUUUUCUAAGCAACCAGUCAAACAAAAAACCAGCCUCUGAUGUGUAGCAUUUGCAAUUUCCUUUGCAAAAUUCCAAGGUAUAAAUGUUCACAAUAAAUUUAACAAUUGGGUUGGGUCCAAGCCAGCUCUAGCAUACCCCUUCUACUCAUCCCAGAGAGGCUGCUAGUAUGUCAUAAAAGCGUUGGACAUGAAAUCAGGAGAAAUAAACUAAAUUCCAGCUUCCUAUACUUAUUUGGCCAUGGUAUCUUAGGCAAGCCAUUUAAGCCUAUUUUCUUAUGUAUAAAAGGGACAAAAUACUUGAGAGGAAGGGACCUUGGAGACCAUUUAGACCAAUCCCCUCAUUCUACAAAUUAAGAAAUUGAGGUAUAGACUUGUCAAAGAGAGUAAGCUGCAGAGGCAAAAUCUGAACUCAGGUCAUCUGCCUUCCCUUAUCCUGUAAACUGUAAGUACUUGUUAAACUGAUUAUAUUCAAGUAUACCAAGUGUUUUAGGGUCUACAAAGCAAAAUAGGCUUGAUCCUGCCAACCCCUGAAGCUAUCACUCUAUAUCUCUUCUCCUCUUUAUAGCUAAAUUCCUUAAAAAAGUAUUCUGAACUCAUUGUUGCUACUUCUUCACACCAUUCAUUUUUAAACUUGCUUCUGACUACCAUUUGAAUGAAAAUGGUCUCUUCAGUGUUAACAGCUUAUCCGUUAGGCUCUUUGCCUUUCAAUAUUCCUUCUUUAAAAACUGUCAGGUUUUGACCCUGUUAAACAGUGCCUCCUCCCUAGAACUUUGGCAUUAUAACUAUGAUGCUGCCCUCUUGUUAACCCUCUCUGAUAACGCCUCUUCACUUCCUCUGUUUCAUUAUUAUCCAUCUUCUAUCCUCUAAGUUUGGAUAACUCUCGAUACUCCAAACCGGACUUCCUCUUUUCUCUCUACACUUUCUGUCAGUGAUCAGCUUGAGUUCAAUUCUCAUUGCUCCAUUUAUGACUUUUACAUCUACAUAUCCCAUCUCCACCCCUCUUCUGAGUUCCACUCUCUUAGGUCUAACUGCCUGCUGGAUAUCACUGAUGGGAUAAGCAUCUGGUUGAUAUUCAGGAUGUCCAAAAAUGGAACUUCUUAUCUUCUCCCAUAAACCAGUUCCUUCCUCCUCAAAACAUCUUUAUAUUUAUGUUGAGGGUAUGUUUAAGAGUCAUUCUUGAUAUUUCCCAUGCGUACUUAUUUUUGUCUUACAUAUCCAUUUUGAGGCAAAAGAGCAAUAAGGGCUAGGCAGUUGGAGUUAAGUGACUUGCCCAGGGUCACACUGCUAGGGAAAGUCUAAGACCAGUUUUGAACCCAGGUCCUCCCAACUCCAGGCCUUAGCAUUCUAUCCACUUGCUACCUCGCUGCCCCUCUUUUCCACUUUCCCUCAUCAAUUGCCUCCUUCAUUUGUCCUAGUCUGACCAAUAAUAAAUAUACCACUAUCCUAGUUCAAAUUCUCAUCAUUUCUUGCUUGGACUUGCAAUAGGCUCUCAAUUAAUCUCCCUGUUUCAAGCCUCAUGCAUUGGCAUGAUCCAGUUGCCAAAAGAAUCCAAGAUUAGUAAUUGUAAAAAUCUACUCGUUACUCUCCAGAACAAGAAUUUUCAAUGUCUCUACUGUCCUUAAGAUCAAAAUAAAGUUACUGGCUGAGUAUGAAAAAGCCCACUGGUUCUCAUCUACCUUUUCAGACUUAUUUCUAAUUGCUGUCCCCUUUACGCAUUCUACAUUGCUGCUAAACUGGCCCACUUAACUUAGCAUUCCAUGUGCCACAUCAAUGCCUUCUCACUCUGCUCCACAUAAGCUAGAGCUUUCUCCAAGGCUCAAUUCAGUUGCCCUGUUUUCUGGAAGCCUUUUCUCAUGCCCUUAGUUAAUAAGGUAAAGCACUACAUCUCUCAGUUCUGGCAAUUGUUGCUGGCUGUCCUCCAUGUCUGCAAUACUCCCCUUCCUUGUCUCUGCCUCCUGCAUUCUCUGAUUUCCUUUAAGUCCCAGCUAAAAUCUCAUCAUCUACCGAAAGCCUUUCUCAACCCUUCUUUAUCCUAGUGUCUUUCCUCUCAAAUAUUUCCCUUUCCUGUUUAUCCUGUAUUUAGCUUCUUGCUUUGUACUUAUUUGUUUUCUUGUUGUUUAUCCCAUUAGAUUGUGAGCACUUUGAGGGGAGAGACCUUUGCCUCUUUUUGUACACUCCCCCCUCUCACUAAUGUCUAGAAACAUACUAAACACUUAAUAAAUAUGCAUUGACUUAUUUUCUGAUAGAGUCCUCUCCUUUCCAAAAUUAUUCUGUUUGCUUUUUGUUUUGUUCUGUUUUGUUUUUAAACCCUUACCCUCUUGCCCUAAUAACAACUCUAAGACAGAUGGAAAAGGGCUAGGCAAUCAGAGUGAAAUGACUUGCCCAGAGUCACAUAGCUAGGAAGUAUCUGAGGUCACAUUUGAACCCAGGUCCUCCUGACUCCAAGCUUGGAGCUCUGUCCACUGUGCACUGUCCACUUGUUACCUCCUACAUUUUCUUUUAAUAUGUUGCAUCUCUUGGUGGAAUGUAAGUUCCUAAAGAGCAGCAAUCAUUUUCUGUAUCUAUAGGAUUUAAUAACACUGUUUUAUACAUAAUAGAUACAAUGUUUGGUAUCGAAAUUAAUAACAAGUACCGUCUUUUUCUUUCUUCUUUUGAACUCAUUUACUUUUUCUUUGAUCCUUGGGAAUUUUGUCUGUUCUCUAUGGUUUCCUUGAGAUAAGGGUUAGUUAGUGUUUGAACACUACUCCAAAGUUAAUUCCAUUAGGUAUUACUGAUUUAAGUAAUAGUUAUUUUUAUAUAUAAUUUAUUCUAGGUUUGGCUUUUUAUUCUUUUAUUAAAAGUAGGACUCAUUUUAUACUAAAUUUAAGAGGGAACAAUGAAUAGGGGUAUAUUUAACAGCCCCCAUAGAUUAAAAAAACAACAACUAACCAUAUAAUAAUAGAAUCAGGAAAUAUGAUUAAAGAGCAGUUUACCAAGAAAAGAUCUGGACGAUUGUAGUAGACUGAAAAUUCAACAUGAAUCAACUGUAUGAUGUGGUUACAAAUAAAACCAGACAGAUCUUUGACUUUAUUAACAAAAAUACAAUGUCUAGAAGAGUGAAGCAAUAGCCUUUUUGGUAUUUGUGCUGAUCAAAUGUAUACAUAUGGAAUAUAGUUUUUAGUUAUAUGAGUUCCAUUUGAGAAGAGAAAUUGGCAAAAUGUAGUAAGUCCAGAGGAAGAAGACUAGGAUAGGGAGUGCAUCUGUCUCUGAAGCCACAUUAUGAAGAAUGGCUAAUGGGUAUAAUUAGCCUGGAAAACAAGAGGAAACUUGGAGGUGGUGAAUGGGGCAGAACAAGAUAACUCUCUUCCAAUAUUUGAAGAAUUGGAGCUCCAAGAAAGAUGAGACCUUCUUGGUCCCACAUAGGACAGCUACAAUCAGUGGGUGAAAGUUACAGUGCUCAACAUAAUUGACAAAUCCAUAAUAAUUAGAGAAAAAUGGUAGAAAUAGCCUUGGGAGGUACUGACGAUUUUCCUAUUAUUGGGAGAUCAUCCCAUGAAGGAGAAUAUUUGAGAGAGAAUUCAUGAUCCAGGUAAACAUAAGACCAGAUGACCUCUAACUUUCCCAUUAGCCCUCAGAGUCUAGUCAAUUCAGUAUUUGUUGAAAUAGUCAAAGUGAAUAUAUUAAAAAUUGUAGCUAUAAUCUAAUGGGGACAGCCAGGCAGCAUAGUAGAUAGAGUGCUGAGCCUGGAGUCAAGAUUCAUCUUUCUGAGUUCAAAUCUGGCCUCAGACACUUAUUGGUUGAAAGGAAAAUCACUUAACCCUGUUUGCCUCAGUUCCUCAUCUGUAAAAUGAGCUAGAGAAGGAAAUGGCAAACCAUUCCAGUGUCUAAGCCAAGAAAACUCCAAAUGGGUCACAAAGAGUUGGACAAAAAACAACUGAGAAACAAUCACCGGGGAAAGGUGGGAGGAAGAAAUAUCUUAUUUCCCUCUUUUGAAAGUGUAUGUAUGAGGGGGCAGCUGGGUAGCUCAGUGGAUUGAGAGCCAGCCCUAGAGAUGGGAGGUCCUAGGUUCAAAUUUGGCCUCAGAUACUUCCCAGCUGUGUGACCCUGGGCAAGUCACUUGACCCCCAUUGCCUAGCCCUUACCACUCUUCUGCCUUGGAGCUAAUACACAGUAUUGACUCACUCCAAGAUGGAAGGUAAGGGUUUAAAAAAAAAAGUAUAUAUAUGUAAUUUGGGAAGUUGCUUUUUGUGUAUUUCCUAUAUACACCUUCCUAAUUUUGGCCUAAUUUUCUUGUCCCAGGACUGGACAAUUUCUUUAUACUCCUUUUUUUCCCUCCUUGACCUUAGUUUUUGUAACUUUUCUAAUACCUUUUUGGUUUCUGAGGCAUCUUGGUUUCUUGUUACACUGCCUGGUCAAUUGUAUUGUGUUUUCAUAUGAGCCUUCAGGCCUCUUCUUUUUGAACCCCUCUAACUCAGUUCCCGUCACUGGCUCUUUCCUUACUAAAUGGUCUAUGUUUGUUUAAAAAUUUUGCUUUCCUCAAUUGUCUUUUCUCUAUCUCACUAACUUCUGACUUCCUUUCUCUUUGGAUCUUGAAUACUGUAUCCUGGAUCAUUUCUUCUCCAAUAGGAUGGACAACUGUCUUAGUUAAUUAUUCUAGUUUAGUACAAGGAAAUUGUCCUUUUUGUACCCCCAAAUUCUAUUUUGAUGUUGUGACCCAAGACCAGAUACUUGUGUAAAGCUAGUAAAUUUACCUAAUAUAUCUUGAGUCCAUUUGUGAAGAGGAAGCAGUCUGACAAAAUGGGAAGAAAUGAGCCUCAGAUGUGGCAUUCUGCAAGCUGUAGGUAGUGGGUGACUUGAAAGGUAGCAAAAAGUGAAGCGUGUUAGUGGAAUGCCCUAGGGGUAGCUAAGAGGUCUUGGGAGCAUGAAUCAAGCCCAUUACCCAAGGCUGCAACCAAGCCAAAACUAAAGAUAAUAUUGGCCCAGCUUCAAAUGGUUGUUUCUCUAGAGGCAAACGAACACAUCUUGGAGCAUUGUGACACCAUGAGGUUAAGUCAAAACAAGCUUUAUUGCAUUGUCAGCAGGGGAAAUCAUCUCCUACAGAUCACUGAGUUUCCAAGAGAUUUUACAAAGAUUCAUAAUCCCUGGGUUUCUGCUAUAUACACACUGAGUUUCAUGGAAAGUCAAUAACAUGAUGUGAUAAACAGUAGCUCAAGAGGCUCUUCAUUAAUAGGCCCACCUAGUCAGGUUCUUGAUCAGUCUCUGAUCUCAUGGAUCUGACUCUGAUCUAAUCAAUCAUUUAAUAAAUCCUUCCCAAUCCACCCAGGGGUUUGGGCGGGUGGGUACCUGUUGGAGGAAGACACAAAUUCUAAAGAGCAAGAGAUUUUACUUAUAGGAUUAGACUAACUUUCUCAAAGUGGGUCAGAGCACUCUAUAUUAUGAAGAGGAAGACCAAAGAGGAAAUGACCUACCUAUUGGCUCCCUUAGGAUGCCUGCUUAGCUUUGGGCCAGCUCCCCUAAGGUUGGUUUAUUUAGAUCAAGUAGCCCACCCCUUCCAACCUUAUUUCCUGUGAAUUCUAAGACUGUCCUACCAAUGAAUGCUAUUCAGGGACUCUCUGACUAACCUAAUAAUGGGAAUUCUCACUUAUCUUGUAGGGCCCCCUAACCCCAUGAUUUAAAGAGUCAACAAAAGACAAAACAAAACAAAAGGACUGGUCUCGAUAGGCAUAGUUGAAGACAGAAAAUGGGUUAGUAUUCUGGAGGGGUCAAUAGGGACAUUUCAUGUAUAAGGAAGGAAGGUGUCUCAUGCAGGAAUUCAAGAAGAGGGUCUAGGAUGGACAUAACCAAGCAACAGAAAGAACCAUGGUCGAAGGUGAAGAAACCUCAGCAGAGAAGUGGGGGACCCCUAUUCUCCAUGUCAUCUCCUAGAAGGCCAUCUCCAAAGCCAAUACGUGUGAAAUGAGCACCUUAAGAGAUCAGACUUAGUAAGAGGGCAGGUAAUAUCCAUGAAAUGAAGCAGCCCCAGGAAGCCGCCACCACCACCCUGUCCCCAUCACAACCACCUUUUGUUGUGGGGGGGUUUUCCCCCUGAAUGUCCCAGGUAGGAGGAGUUUAGUCACUAUCUGAGGGAAAGAAGAGACUUCAAAACAUAUUCUCUGGCUCUUGACAACCUGGGGCAGUUACUCUGGAUAACGCCCAAGCCUGGCAUAGGAGAUAUUCAGUGUGUGAAGGAUGGGAGAAGAAGGCAAGUGCCCUUGGUCUGGUGGUGAGUGCUAUAGGAGAACUGUCUUUGGCCUAGGUCCUUGUUUGGCAUGUGACAUUUAUUCUUGGACACAUCAAGUAUAGACAUAAGGCACAUAUUUGCAGAUAGGGCAGUUUGGUGAGCAGAGGUGAAUCUGCCUUUGCCACACAGUACUAAAUAAAGUAUAGGCCCCAAGGUGUGUUCUUGCCUUCCUAUCUGCUAACCACGAGACACUGGUUGGUCAGUAAUCAGUCUGUCAGAUUCCAUUGAAUAGGUAGCACAUAGCCUCCCGGAGCUACCCAAGGAGCACCUCUUCAGGAAGAAGUCCCACAUUCUGCUUGAUUCCCCAAAGCCCCCUUGGCUACAAGAGGCCAAAGGGGCCUCUGUCCUGUGAGAAGUAAGAGAAUUCUUGAAGCCACUGGUGCAGAGAGGAGGGAUGGAGAAGGGAGAGCUGCCAUGGGCCCCAGGAGACCAUCAGACUCCCAAAGGGUAGUUUAUCUCCCCCCCUGGGAACCCCAGGACCUGGCGCUGACUUACUUGCUGGUGGAUAUUGCUGUGUGUGGCUUCCUCUUCAAUACUGUCAGUGAACUCAGUGCUAGCAUCCUCAGUGUCCUCACCCACAGUUGUGCCUGGAAGAAAGGACCAAAAAGGUAACUGACCCCCCAAGUGGCAACUAAGCUCACAUUCCUCUUGUUGCUGGUCUCUGAUUGUCUGCCUCCUCCAUUCCCCACCUAAUACAAACCAUGUGGAGGGAAGAGGUGAAAAGUCACAUGUUCAGGCUGAUCUGCUGGAACUUUUGGUUCUCUUUAUUUACAUGGUCAUUGAGGACAUCAGGUGUGGAACUACUAAGUCAUGAAAAAAACAGGCCUGUCCUUGAACCUGGACUUGGCUGAAUAGAUAGAUGCUCAAAGGAUUAGACACUCACCAUUGGAGCAGCUGCUGACUAGGAGUCAGAAAACAUGAGUUUUCUUCCCAGCUCAGUAGUUGUCUCACUGUAAAACCUCACUUCUCCAUCAAUAAAAUGGGACCACACACUACCUACUUAUAACCACUUGGAAGAUUCCUUCUUUAGGCUUGGUUGAUGUAAAUGUUCUCCAACGUGGACCUAUCAACCCAAUUUCUCCUAUUUUUUCCACUUUCUUGGGAAUUUAGUCAUCUGAAGGAACGAUGCUCCAAAGAUAGUUAGCAAAAGCCACUCUUUCAAGACUCCUCCUCCAAGAACCUCAAUGAACUGAUGCAGAGUGAAAUGAGCAGAACCAGGAGAACACUGUACACAAAAAGCAAAACACUGUGGAAUGAUCCAAUGUAAUGGACUUUGCUACUAGAAGCAAUGCAACAAGCUAGGACAUCCCAGAAGGACUUAUGGGAAAGAAUGCUAACUACAUUGAGAGAAAGAACUAUGGGAGAAGAAAUGCAAAAGACAUCACUUAUCACAUGUAUAUAUGGGUAUGUAAUUUGGAGUUUAGGUUUUAAAAAAUCACACUAUAGCAAAAAUGAAUAAUAUGGGGAAAUAGGUAUCAAGUGACAACAUUUGUACAACCCAAUGGAAUUGCUUGUCAGCUCUGGGAGCCAGGGGGAAAGAAAAUGAAUCGUGUAAAUAUGGAAAAAUUAAAACUAAAAUAAAAAAUAUAUUCCUUCUCCAAAAACCUUGUGCUACUAAAAAGCCCAAGGAGAGCCCAGACCCAAGAAGGGAACUGAGAUAAGUCAAGGUCAUUCAAACAUCUACCCAGAAAGGAUGGUACAUGCCUCAAUCAUGCCACCUCUCUUUAAUCCUCCUCCUCCCCCAGCCCCACUGAAGUCUUCAUUGGAUUUAAAUCUUCAAGUAUCCUAAUUUCUCCUGGGAAAAUGGAAACUUCCUCAGAAUUGCCUCCAUGACUUUUCAUUCCCCAGAUGAAAGACAAUCUAAGUAGGAAAAUUCUUCCCUUUUCCAAGCCUGGUCUAUUAUCUCAUCAUCGAGGGAACCCAGGGCCUCCUCUGGGAGAAAAGCUCCAGGAGACUGCUUGUGCCUUUUGUGAAGGAUACGUCUCCCUUCACCAGUCUGUCACAGUUGGACUUCCCAACUGUUUUUCAGGGUUUGUAAGUUAUUCUGGAUCAGACCAGCGAUGAUGACAAAUGCCCAUGGCUCUGCAGAAUGCAAAGGAAACCCCAGUGACCAUGGAAUUCAGAGUUGGUAGGACCUUUGACAAUCCCCUUCGGAUGACUGAUGGGGAAACCAAAGCUAGAGGACCAAGCUAUGAUAAUCUGGUCGUCUGAUGACAAAUUCAGUAGUUGGUGCCUUUAGAUUUAGGCAAAAAGGUAACUGUGUCUUUCCCUGGAUUAUGACAGUAGCUCUUAUUUGUACCUCAUUAAGCUGAAAUCACCAUUUCCUUUGGCAUCCUGUCUCACAAAUAUGCUGCUCUUGUCUUUUCCAUCUGGGGAAUGGGAACAAGGUCCUUUGAACAUGGACAUCUUUGGAGGAAAACUUCAGUGUGACUAAGAGAUAAGGAGAUCCACAAGGAUAUACAGCAUCACUCUAGUGGCUUGUCACCUGAUGCCAUGGCUGUUCCCAACUGUCACUUCAAAGAACUGAACAGCAGUAAACUUGGCUUUUUCUAGGGAUUCCCCUCAUGCUAAGGCUCACAGCCCAGCAUCACUUACAACACAUAGACUAUGAUAUCUCUGUAUUGUGAGCAGAACCUUCUUAGGUUCUCUUGGCCAUCCCAGUUAUGCUUUUCUGGGUCUCAGUGGGCUUAAUACCACAUUGCUUUGACAUGGCCAAUGAAGGAAGCUAUUUUAUUACAAGGCCAUUUCCUUUUUCCCCCUUAAUGGUCAGAGCUGCAAAGAGAAUAUUAAUUGAUUAAAAAAAAUUACCUUCUGUCUUAGAAUCAAAACUGGGUAUUGGUUCUAAGGCAGAAGAACAGUAAGGUCUAGGCAUUGGGGGUUAAAGUGACUUGCCCAGGGUCACACAGCUGGGCAGUGUCUGAGGCUGGAUUUGAACCCAGGACCUCCCAUCUCUGGGCCUGACUCUCAAUCCACUGAGUCACCCAGUUGCCCCCUAGAAUAUUAAUUGAAAAAAGAAACUUGGAUGAAAAAUAAGACCACAUUGUGUUAUGAGACAGUCAGAAAGUCCACCAGUGCUCUUUCCAGCAAAUUAGGCCUUGACUUAUUUCACUGGAAUCAUCUCUGGGGAGGGGCAAACUUUUCUGCUUCAGGGGCUUUGUAACCUAAUUAAAAUGGGCUUUGCUAGUGAAUGCCUGAGCACUGGGGAGUGCUUCCUUUUUGUUCCAUCUUUCUCAUAAAACAGUUCCAAUCAGAACUGAGUUUUCUCAUAAAGAGACUUGGCCUACUCCAUUUGCAGAGGGAUGGCUGAAACAAGGUCUCCUGUUAUAACUUUGGCUAGCCAUAGAGCUGAUCUGGUGGCUGGAGUAAUGGGAGGAGCUCAGAUUCAAGGAUUGCAUGUCAGGUAAAUGUUCCAACUGCAUCUUUUCUCCCCAUAUUCCUAAGAGCAGAUUCCCCAUUCAAAAUAAGGGAAGUUGAGGCAGGCAUAUCGUAGGUGGGAAAAAUUGUUCCUGAAAUCUCUUCUGUCUUCCGUCCCGUCCACAGAAACUCAACUAACUCAGCCUGAAUGGGCUGCUUGUCUCUGGAUUCCUAAAUCCCUAAAUCCUGCUCUGCCCUCUCUAGUUCACCCAAUGGUAACAGACAUUUAUCCUACCUCUGGACUAUGAAAAUGAAACCGAGAUGUCCUUCUUUCCCUAGUUCCAACUCCAUUAUUUGGGCUAUUUUAUGACUUAUUACAUCUCUGCUCCCACAGCCUUAAAGAUUCUUUGGUCUUUGGCUGACAGCAAGUCACGAAUGAGGAAAACUCUCCAUAUACCGUUUUUAGAAGGAUGGAGGAAAAUUGAAAAACAGGAAGUUUGGAGAAAACAUGAGAACAAAAUAAGUGCAUUUGAGUGUAUACAUAUAUUAUCUACUCUUCUCUUCAUUCAUCUUUUAUCUUCCUAAUAGCAUAAUCUUCUUGGGGGCAGUUAGGUGGCUCAGUGGAUAGUGAGCCAGACUUGGAGUCGGGAAUACCUGGGCUCAAAUCUGGCCCUUUCUAGCUAUAUGACCCUGGGCAAGUCACUUAACUCCCACUGCCUAGCCUCUGCUUUGGAACCAAUACAUAGUAUUGAUUCCAUUAUUGAAUGUAAGAGUUUUUUUUUAAAAAAAAGUAUGUACCUCUUUUUUGAGAAUUUCAUUAAGCUUCUCUCAAGUAGCAAAUUAUCUAAUGCCUCUUAGAAAAUUAAUUUGUAGUAAUUUAAGAAUACAUAAAAGUGUAGAAUAGUUAAAAACUUAAAGCUGUAGGGUAAAUGGCCUAGGGAUAAAAUAAGCUGGGGCACCUGGGUGACUCAGUAGAUUGAGAGCCAGACCCAAGGACAGUAGGUCCUAGGUUCAAAUCUGACCUCAGAUGUUUCCUAGCUGUGUGAUCCUGGGUAAGUCACUUGACACCGCCCCCCCCCCCCCAUUGCCUAGCCUUUAUAACUCUUCUGUCUUAGAACCAAUACACACAGAAGAUAAGGGUUUAAAAAAAUAAAAUAAAAUAAGCUCUUAGUAUCUAAAUUGUUCUUCCCUUUGAAAUAGACUAAAGCCUAAAGAAACAGCCUAUGAUCAGAUUUUACUCAUGAUACAUUGGUGGUUUUAUUUUUCCAAGGGAAUGGCUUUAUGGUCUAGGGAACUGGUUCUCAAAAGUGUGGUCCAGUUAAGUGGUGAGUACCAGACUUGGACUGAGGAAGACCUGAAUUCAAAUCCUGCCCCAGACAUCUACUGUGACCCUGAGUAAAUCACUUGACCUCUCCCGGGCUCAGUUUCCUCAUUUGUAAAGUGAUUAUAAUAAAUAAGAUCUACCUUACCAAGUUUUGGUGAGAAUCACGAGAUAACAUAUGUGAAGCAUUAACUUUAGUGGUCUGCAGAUACAUAAAAUGUGGGCCAUAGAGUUUAUUUGAUCUUAUUUUAGGAUUUUUUCCCCUGUUUUAUAAAAUCUAACUGUUUUCUGGUCAUUGGAUGAAGAUGAUCUGGAAGGCUAAGUCUGAACAGUACAAGUGCCAGCUAAUAGGUCCAAACCCAGACUGGAAAGACUUUAGUUACGGGUUGGCUGUCUGUCUGUCACCUUUGGAGGACUAGUUUGGUUUGGUGAGUUCUGCUCACUCAUCUAGAGAAGGCUGACUGCCAGGUCAGAAUGAUCAUCUCCGAAGGUGUGGAAGGGUUGCUAUCUGGAGCAGCAGAGAGAAGAUCAGAGCUUCUGAAAUUAUGGAUCUCUCGAAGCCUAUUGUUCCAUCACUGACUUGAAUAUACAAAGUUUACAGACAUAAAUCUAGAGUUAGUGAUGUGAUGUGAAAAAUAGUUUUUAAAAGUCUCAGGCAUGAUACAAAAAUAUCCUAUUAUUAUGACUUGGACAAAAGAUCUAGUUACUUUUGGUGCUUUCUUUUCUUUUUAAAAUCCUGUCCUUCUGUCUUAAAAUUGGUAACUUGAAGUAUGGACUCCAAGGCAGAAAAACAGCAAGGGCUAGGCAAUGCGGUUAAAUGACUUGCCCAGGGUCACACAGCUAAGAAAUAUCUGAGGUCAAUUUUGGAUCCAGUCCUCCUGACUCCAGAUCUGGCACUCUAUCCACUGUGCUACUUAGCUGCCCCAGGUCAAGAGAUGCAUCUACUGAAAAGUUCCAAGAAUGACUUAAGUUAGGGUCCAAAAGUUCCUCUGGAAAGAGGAGCCUUCUAGAUUUGAUGACUAUUAGUAGUCUUGUUUUAUGUCUCUUCAUUUGUCAAUACCUUGGUUUACUAAGGUGCUGCACCUUUCCGUCCUUGUUUUACAAAGAGGUUAGAAGGUUAUUGGUAUAUCAAUAAGACUAGAUGAAGUUUCCCCAAGUAGAUACUUUGUAAAUGAGAUGUAUGAGAAAGUAUCUAGUUAUUGUCACAUAGUAGGCACUUUAUUUUUUAUUUAUUUAUUUUUUUAAACCCUUACCUUCCAUCUUGGAGUCAAUACUGUGUAUUGGCUCCAAGGCAGAAGAGUGGUAAGGGUAGGCAAUGGGGGUCAAGUGACUUGCCCAGGGUCACACAGCUAGGAAGUGGCUGAGGCCAGAUUUGAACCUAGGACCUCCCGUCUCUAGGCCUGGAGUAGGCACUUUAUUAAUGCCUGAUUGAGCAUCAUUUGAACUGUAGCUUCUAAUGUAUCUUAACUCCAAGUGUUGGGGUUGCUCUAUUGACUUGGCCAUUUUAUUAAAAAAAAAAAAGCACUUUGUGGUAUUUCUUCAAUUAAAUCCUCCUUGAAUCACGUACCAGGCCAUUUUCCCCAAAUUCUGCUGGGCACUGAGUUUCCUAUAUGAUGUGUUUCUGAGGGCUCUUUCAUUUGGGAAUACUUUACAAACUUUAGACCAAGGACAGUUAGCUGGUUCAAUGGAUGGAGAGUCAUGCUUAGAAAUAGGAGGUCCUGGGUUCAAAUUUGACUUCAGAUACUUCCUAGCUAUGUGACCCUGGGCAAGUCACUUAACCCCCACUUCCUAGCCCUUACCAAUCUUCUGUCUUAGGUCCACUACAUAGUAUUGAUGCUAAGAUGGAAAGUAAGGUUUGUUUGUUUUUUUAAAUACAACAAAACUUUAGACUACCAAUGAAGAAGCCAAGAGGGUAAGGGUUAUUUCCCACUCCAGUGGUAGUUAAGGACUGUUGGUGGGGUCCUUUGUUAUGAACUGACUUAAUAUGGGGGAAAGAGCCUUGGAGCCAGAUCUAGAUUCAAAUCCUACCCUUGAUGUGUAAGUUUAUGUGACCUUGGGUAAGUCAUUUGAGCUUCAAGUUUCCUGCUCUAUAAAAGGAGAAUAGACUAAGGAGGCAUUAGAUGAUUCUAGGCUAAUUUAAAGUAAGAUGUAUCCCUUCCUGAAUUACUACACUUAUUCCAGAACAUCUCCGGAACGAUCCAUUUGAAUUCUAUUCUCAUCUGACACUUUGGCUACUGUCCAAAAGGUGAGAAGAACCUCCCCUUUCCAUAGCCUCCUACGCUUUGCAAGUGAUUAAUCUAAACCAGAGUAAUUGAUUGCAGGCUCGCCUGCUCCCAUUCCCUGCCAAAAUAGCAGGAAGCUGUCUUAUGCUCCUUCUACAAUGGGCUUCUUCCUGUUGCUCCAAAAUGUCCCCACCUAGAGGCUGGUAUCAUUAUCUAGUCACAGUGAUGCUGCUAUUAGAGCAGCUGAGAGGGGUACGUGUCUGCUAUUCAAAAGUCCCUUUGGCUUCUCAGUUAUUUCCUCGGGCUCUUUAAUUGCUUCCCCUAGUAACCUGGAGGCCUUCUGAGCCUGUAAAUUAUUGAAGAACUUCUUAGGUGACAGAUAGACAGUCUUCCUCUGCUAUUCUUUAACACUAGGUCAUUUAUUACCAUUCACAACCUUAGGAGCCUUGAAAUCCUAGGAAGCACUCCAGAAAUCAUCACUUUUCCAAAAAGGAAAUUGAACUAAUUUAAUCUUUAAUAAACCAUAGUCAGCUAGUUUGUAGUUUCUCCCAGGUUUCUGGCUCUGCUCAUUGCCUCUCUUCUCUAUAAAGGAUGACACGGGCAGUAUCGGCAACCCAAAAUAGACUAGUUCAUGUUUAUACAGCACAUUGGGCAGGUUCUGCACAACACAGGACAACAAGUAUUAUCUGUUUGCAGAAGAAACCAAAGCUCGUAGAAGGGAAAUGAUUUCAUAGGUGGUAAGAACUGGGCUUCAGACUUUUAACUGUCAAACUGACCAUCCUAAAGCAUAGGUGUAGUGAUGGCUCUAUUACCUUUCUUCCAGGGUCAACUAUGAAAUCCUGAUUGGCUUUUAACUUGGCCCCUUCCUAUCACUCUGGUCUUCUUACACCUUACUCACCCCAAACACAUCCUAGGAUCUAGAGACAUCAGCCUCUUAGUUGUUUGUCACACAAGACACUUCAUUUUUCCACUCCAGGUAUGUUCCUUGCCUGUCCCUCAUCCCUAGCAUUCCUCCCUCUGCCUCCUGGCCUCCUGGGAUUCCUUCAUGCCCUUGACAAACUCCCACUUUCUAUAAAAUACCUUUUCUGAUCCCUCUUCAUGUUAGUACCUUUUCUGUGGAUUAUUUCCAAUUUAUCCUGCAUUUUAUUUAUACAGUCGUUUGCAUGUUGUUUCUCGGACAACUUGAACUCCUUGUGGCUACUGUCCUUUGCCUUUCUUUGUAUCCAUAGAGCUUAGCACAGUGCCUGAUGCUUAAGAAAUACUUCAAGUCAGCACUCUUUGUGCUACACCAAGCUCUCUCUUAGGCAGGUCCUACUCCCUAAUACCAGAUUCUCUCAAUCUUUUCCUAUUUUGUAUCCAUUUCACUGGGGAGCUGAAGAGGAGAAGUCAAAGGUUCCAAGAAGAGGAUGCUCAUUCCAAAUUGUCUGAAAGAGACAUAGCAUGAUUUCUUCUCCAUCACUGCUUUUUUUUUUUUAACACUUACCUUCUGCCUUGGAACCAAUACAAGGCAGAAGAUUGGUAAGGGCUAGGCAAUGGGGGUUAAGUAACUUGGCCAGGGUCACACAGCUGGGAAGUGUCUGAGGCCAAAUUUGAACCUAGGACCUCCCAUCUCUAGGCCUGACUCUCAAUCCCCUGAGCUACCCAGCUGCCUCCCAUCAUUGCUUUUGAACAAAAGUCCUCCAGGAUGAGGAUAUCAGUUCCUCUCUACCUCUCCCUUAACUAAAAAGGUCAUUGACUCACUCCAUUUAUUACUUUUAAAAAACUUUUAGCUUGGAAUUUUAUUGCGUCACUCAAAAGGUUGGUUCUCCUAUAAGAAAAAAACAACUGAACUUUUCCUACCAGAAUGAAACCAAAUCAUUACUAUUAAUCCUUGUCGACUUUUAUUGAGCCAAUAGAACAUUUAUCCAUCACUUAAAGCUGCUGAAAAAUCUAAUGACUAAUAUAACAUGUUCUGAAAUGGAGGAUGUAACAGGCAACAACACUACAGCUACAAAAAAAAUUGGCUUACAUAAGAUAAAUAUACAACUUGCUAGGAGGAGGAAUGAGGGGACGGGCAGGAUAGGGAAUUCCUAGAAAGACAAGCUUAUUUAAUUAGGGGGGAAAAGUCAUUUCCUUCUUCCACAGAAAAAGCAUCAAAUUCUUUCAUUUUCUCUUAACAAUCCUACAUUCCCAGGAAAAUGUUUUAAGUUAAAGGCUACUGAAACAACAAGCUCCUAGCACAAAUGAUGAAACUGAGAUGGAAAGUCAAAUUCAUACAAACACACUUUUGCAUAUUAUACAAACACACCUUUGAGACUCACAGAUUAAGAGAAAGGUUGAGAGUUUUUGUUAGACCAAAAGACAUUGGAUGAUUAGAAAAGCAAGUGUUGCACAUUUAGGCAAACACGAAAGGCAACCAAUGGCCAUUCACAUUCAUUGGCCGGAACAAUUCCCUUCUGUCAAAGGGAAUGUGGAGUGGAUCCUGUUCAUGCAGUUAGUGGGGUAUACAGCUAAAAUCCCUGUUCUUGACAUUAUUUGUUGAAAUCAAAUAUUUGUAGGUAGUCAUUCCUGAUGUUACCCUCUUUGCAUUUCAGACACAGUAGAAAGAAAACAGUGGAAUGUACAGCUUUUCAUCUCUAGAAUCCCAUUUUGUACGUGUAAAAGAAGGGAACAAAGCCUAAUUUUCAGUUGAUUCGUUUGGGAAAUUUCUAUAGCCAUGGGCAUUUUCUAUUUUUAUUGUCCCCGUUGCAAUCUCAUCCAUCAACUAAAAUGUGGUAUGAGAUUGAUAUUUUUACUUCCACGCUGUCAAUUUUUUUCAUCACUCUGCAUUCUUUCCUGAAGGCAAAAAUAGAAAGAGGCCACUUUGUUGUAUGGAAAAAGUCACUCUUGCAGCUUAAUGCUGAUGUGAUUAAAUGGGAGUUGAGGACUUACCUUCAGUUACGCUCAGUUCAUUUCUCAUAGAGGGUCACAUCUGUCCCCUACCCACAAUGAAAUGCUCUGAGAAAGUCAUCCCUAGUGUCUAGGGAAUGGGAUUUCGAAAACACAUUUCAACGGAAGACUCAAACCAUUAUACCCAGAUAGAUCAUCUCUCAGUGCAGUAGCUCUCAGAUCACAGGGAUGCCUGAUUUGAUUUCAUACUCUUAGGGCUUCUUUCUCCAAGUUCUACGGAAAGUACCCCUGUAGCUGCAUAUUAUAUAUUAUCCAACUAAAGGAGAAAUCCUCACUUGAGCCCUCACUCUAGGUCAGUGGUGUCACUCUAAUAGAAACAGGGCCACCAAGCAGAGCACAACAAUCACAUGUUGGCUUAGAAAACCAUACACAAAUAUGAUCUGCUUCUUAUUGUAUUUUACUUAUUCUGUUAAAUGCUAUCCAAUUCCAUUUUGAUCCAGUUUGGUCCUCACUCAGGAGCACUGUGGGGUCAUGUUUUUGAUACCCCUGCUCUGGAUGGCAAGAUAGAAUCAUCCAUGUGCUUUCAUUUAACCCACCCCUGGGAAAGGGCCAUUCACUGGUACUAUUCAAAUUAUUUAAUGAAGCGUUGACUUAUAAGAAUGCUGUUUUCAUUCAUUCUGGCACGGGCUGAUUUUUAAAAAAACAUUUAGGUUUGUUUCAUUUUGUGGCAAAUGGAGGAUUUUCUCUGCAAAAAGCUAGGCUGCCUGGAAAAAAUGUUCAUCAUCUUGCCACAAGGGGCCAGCUUUCCCUCACAUAAGCUCAGGAAAGUCAGAUUCCUAAAUCUCUUCACUGUAUCUCUUUUAAACGAGGAGGGGGCAGCUGAGUGGUUCAGUGGAUUGAGAGUCAGGCCUAGAGAUGGGAGAUCCUGGGUUCAAAUCUGGCCUCAGACACUUCCCAGCUGUGUGACCCUGGACAAGUCACUUAACCCCCAUUGCCUAGCCCUUACCACUCUUUUGCCUUGGAGCUUGACUCCAAGACGGAAGGUAAGGGUUUAAAAAAUAAUAAAAUAAAACAAGGGGGAGUUAUUGAAGAAUAUCAAUGUUUUGACUAACAAGCAGAAAGAUGUUUUAUGUGAUCCUUUUCAUGAAACAGAAAACUUGGAUCUGGUCUGAAGUAGAGCCCCUCAGAUAGUGUUCUCUGAUAACCUGACAAGGCCUCUGUCUCUCUUUUCUACUCUUACAGAGAUUACGUAAGUCAUGAUGCAGGAAUAGGGCAUAUUAGCAUAAGACACUGGACAAUGUUGUGCUUUCCUGGAUGGAUGCUCACCUAUAUUUAAACCUGUAGAGGACUUGCAAGAAAUGUAUAAUUAAUUUUUUAAAAUCAGCAACUAGAAACCAAGGGCAGAGAAAUGUGAUAUAUCAUGGAUGUUACAUAUGUAAUAUCAUAUAAAUUGUAGUUGACCUAAAAACACUAAAGAUUUUGCAUCUUUAAUAGUUCUUCUGAAUUUCAAAAAAUGCUUAAAAAUAAGCUUAAAUUUUUUUUCUUUUGAUAGUUGAUACUUUGGGGAUCUUAAACAAAUAAUUCAUUUGUUUCUUCAUUUUAUAGGUGGGUGGCUAGUGAAAGAAUGGAAUCAAAGGUUCACUUCUUUCUGUGAAAAAGCAAAGUAUUAGAGGCAGCAGUGCCAGGUCUGGAAUUGGGAGGCUGUUGGUUCAAAUCUGGCUUUGGAUACUUCCUAGCUGUGUGACCCUGGAUAAGAUACUUAAACUUAAUCACCUAGUCCUUGCCCCUCUUCUGUCUUAGAAUUGAUACCAAGACAAAGGUAUGGGUUUAAAAAAAAAAGAAAUGCAAAGUAUUAAUAGAUUGCACAUCACAAUUGAAUAAAGAUUUGGUUGGAGAAGGAAAAUGAGGUUCAAGGAUACCUUGCAAAGAUAAAUCCUGGGACACUGAUUGGUUGCUGGAUACUUGGCCCAGGGCACAACCAUCACCCAAUUGUGAUUUUUUUUUUAAACACAGCUGGAGAGGUUGUGUGGAAAGAGGGGCUGAACAGAGAAAUGCUUAAAUACUGACAGCCAUAUUUAAACAAUAUGGAUUUUAAAAUUGCAAAAGAAAAUAAGAGGGAGUAUGUUUUGCAAAGCAAAUAAAAGAGAAAAAUUUAAAUGCAAUUUUAAAAAAUCCCGCCAUGGGGAUAGUCUUCCUUUACAGAUGAUAAAUCUCUUGAAGACCUCUUUAAAUUCAAACAUUCUCUGGCUUAGGAAGCCCAUCGAGUUGGCCCCAAAUCUCUAAGCUGUGGCACUCAGAACAUAGAAUGAGCACUUUCCAAAGUAAAUAAGAGUAAAUGAGAUGAAAUGGGGGGGGGGGGGGGAGAAACACGCUGUACAAUGUACAAUCCAUUUUACAUGGUAUAAUAUGGAUUUUCCCUAACUUGUGCUCUUCAUUUCUAACAAAACAUCUUCCUCCAGCAGUCCUAGGGCUAAAAACAUUUUUCUUCUUGAAUAAAAGGUUUUUCUUCAGUCUACAAUUUAUACUGAAUUACGCUAUUGUUGGAAAAUCGAGUUCCAGACUGUCUAUGCCCUUGAAAUCAUGGUGGCCUCAGAUUACACUGAGAAGAGGGUUAACAGGAGUGCUGUCCAAUCCAAACACUUCUCUCUGGGUUAGUGAACUAAGUUUAGCAGAUUUGUGUUCCCUGAACAGAUGCCAAACUAUCAUAAAAUCUCCAAUCCAGCAUACCUCCUUCAGGCUCUGGCUUCAGGUCCCACAUCAGCUAAACAAAGGUUAGUGCUAGUGUUGGGUUACAUCUAGGCUACCAAGCUCACACUCCAAACAUGUCCUUUUGAAAAUACCCUCUUUCCAUGGAUCUACCUUGUCAAUGCCAUCAAGUCACCCAACUUCCAAAAUAUUUUGUGAUGCCCAGAAGCCAAGCAGCUUUUCAGUAUUCGUAUCAGUAUCAUAACUUGCUCUUUUCUCAAACUACCUCAAUAAUCCAUUGGUACACAUUUUAUAGUAGCAUAAAAAAGAAAAAACCCUCCAAUUUUGAUGACUGAAAAUGAUGGGAGCAGAACAAACAGUCCAAAAUAUAAGGAGGCCUUAAUGUAUCUGAGUUAUGGAUUUGGACCUGUCACAAGUCUAUGACCCCUUGGACUUCAGGGAAACUUUCCUCCUUAUCUUGACUCUCCAGAUUGGCCAGCAGAAGUCUGCCAUUUUCAUGGCUCCUACGAAUAAUAUUCUUUCUGACUAGUGGAAGAAGUAACCUUGGGUUUAGUCUACUGAGUUUCUUUUGAUUUUUUCUUUAUCUUACAUCAAGUGGCUUUUUCCCUCCCAAAAGAAGACUUAGUCAACCUCCAUAUUCCAUGGAAGGAAGAAGAUCUGAUGCAAAUUGGACUUUUUAUCAGUCUAAACAUUACUGUAGUUUCUCCUAUUGGAACACCUUUUUCCCUGAUCACUUCAGUUAGAGUGACGAUAGGUCUGUGACAUGCCCAGAUAACAUUACAGAAACUUGGAUGGAAUUGAGAAUGCCAUUCCAGCCAUGUGGGACAUAUGAAUGUGGAGGGGAAAAAAAAGAUUCAUGUGAAAUGGUCAGAAACAGAGAUCUUUGUGCCCUGUCCAAGUCAGAAAGGAUGUUUAAUCAUCUUUAUUGGGCAAAAAACUCCAAGGACUCCUACUCUAAACAAGCUUAAAUGUCUGUCUUUAUUAACUCCCAAGCCUAUAUAAUCUUGGGAACCGUUAAGUCAAAAGAAGUAAUAAGCCAUAAUGAUAGACCCACAUGCCUCAAGGUAUCCUUCAGAAUGUUUCCAUUCUUAGCACUUAAGACACUGAAAAUGUAAUUAAUAAGUACAUGUUGGGCAGCUUUCCUUACAUGUAUUCUGCUUCUCUGAGACAGUAAUGGCUUCUAUGCCUAUGGGAGACUAACUCCCAUCAAAUGGAAGAGAUAAAAGGGCAGCUAGGUGGCUCAGUGGAUGAAGAGCCAAGCCUGGAGCCAGGAAGACCUGGGUUCGAAUCUGACUUCAGAUACUUUGUAGCUGUGUAACCUCAGGGAAGUCAUUUAACCUCAGUUGCCUAGCCUGUACAGCUCCUUUGCCUUGGAACUUGUAUUGAUUCUAAGGCAGAAGGUAAGAUUUUUUUU
Molecule: non-coding RNA, 21263 nt
Organism: Monodelphis domestica (gray short-tailed opossum)
Lineage: Eukaryota; Metazoa; Chordata; Mammalia; Didelphimorphia; Didelphidae
Source: RefSeq, a predicted model, not a curated record